Molecule: ribosomal RNA, 508 nt
Filed under: uncultured bacterium
Lineage: Bacteria
Description: partial 16S ribosomal RNA
Rfam family: Bacterial small subunit ribosomal RNA
Source: RNAcentral
AUUGAACGCUGGCGGCAUGCCUUACACAUGCAAGUCGAACGGCAGCGGGGGAGAAGCUUGCUUUUCCUGCCGGCGAGUGGCGAACGGGUGAGUAAUACAUCGGAACGUGCCCUGUAGUGGGGGAUAACUAGCCGAAAGAUUAGCUAAUACCGCAUACGACCUGAGGGUGAAAGUGGGGGACCGCAAGGCCUCAUGCUAUAGGAGCGGCCGAUGUCUGAUUAGCUAGUUGGGGGGGUAAUGGCCUACCAAGGCGACGAUCAGUAGCUGGUCUGAGAGGACGAUCAGCCACACUGGGACUGAGACACGGCCCAGACUCCUACGGGAGGCAGCAGUGGGGAAUUUUGGACAAUGGGCGAAAGCCUGAUCCAGCAAUGCCGCGUGUGUGAAGAAGGCCUUCGGGUUGUAAAGCACUUUUGUCCGGAAAGAAAUGGCUCUGGUUAAUACCUGGGGUCGAUGACGGUACCGGAAGAAUAAGGACCGGCUAACUACGUGCCAGCCGCCGCCGUAA